Molecule: long non-coding RNA, 309 nt
Organism: Syngnathoides biaculeatus (alligator pipefish)
Lineage: Eukaryota; Metazoa; Chordata; Actinopteri; Syngnathiformes; Syngnathidae
Exons: 3
Source: RefSeq, a predicted model, not a curated record
GGUCGCCCGUGAUGUCACUCUUUUGGAAGAAAAUGGCAGCAAUCCGCGGUCCAGCCGGCCAAUCAGGAAGCGAGAAUGAGAGAGGACGUAAACCAACGUGGCUUGGAAGGCCGAAGUCGCGGCGGGGUUGGAGGUCAGCAUGCCGACCACGUUCAGGCACUCGGGCAGCUCCUGCAGGUCAAGGCCAGUCGGUGUUAAUUUGAGCGCUUCUUUGGCGUGCGGCGGGCGACUACCUCUUUGCUGGUGAGCCUGAUGAAGAUAUCUCCCAUGAUGCCUUGCCACUGGCAGCGGAGGACUCGCUCCUGCAGG